GGUUCCAUAGUGUAGUGGUUAGCACGUCUGCUUUACAUGCAGAAGGUCCUGGGUUCGUGCCCCAGUGGAGCCA
Pteropus alecto (black flying fox) is the source of this 73-nucleotide non-coding RNA. Lineage: Eukaryota; Metazoa; Chordata; Mammalia; Chiroptera; Pteropodidae. The record is from Rfam.